AGAUAUAAAAACCUUGAGUCUAAUAUAUUAGACCAUACUAAUGAUGACGGUCAUGGAGUCUCUAAGAGUUUCUCACUAGAAAAUGCAGCCAGCUACAACACAGAUUCUCACCAUUUUUCCCGAUGCACUAAAAUCUGUAACAAAGAAAUAAGUAUUAUAUGCUACUGUGCUGCAAAGCAUGUCUUGGCUUUUGGACAAGAACUACUCUCCACAGAGUUCUGUUCUGCGUGAGCAACAUGUUCUCUAGAUCUUUCCCCAUCUUGAAAUUGAAGUUGGCCACAAUAUCUGAAACUUCAGUUCCCAUGAAGUGCCAAUGUCUUCCAGCAUUUUCACUAAAACUAACAUUUAAGGAAUUUGAGUCAACUUGGUGACUCAGCCUAGUACCUGGAAAAUUGAUUCAGUAAGGCCCCAAGUUGAGGCCAAUCUGGAAAACUCAGUGAUUAACCAAGAUGCUGUCAAAAAGAAAAGAAGGGCUUAGAACCUUGUUCAGGUCUAGGCCCUGGGUUUACCUCACCUUGUGAUAACAACAAAGAAACAAAUGUGAUGAAAUUUCUUAACCUUGUGGAGAAUAAUGAAGUGAUCUGUCCUGACACGGUAACAGAUGUUGAGAAGAAGGAGAUUCACAACUCUGUCCUCUUUUCAACACAUGAUUUUCACUACCUACCUGCUCCUAUGCAUGACAAAGGAAGCUGAGUUUCAGUGAAGCUGACUUUAAAAAUGACAGUGCACAGUGAAUAAGGAAGGACUGCGUGAUUUAUAUUUGAAAGUGUGGUUGUCCCAGAGAUCUGAAAGCAAGAGAGAGACACUGUCAGAAUUCCUGGGGUCAGUUUUCUUGAAGAGAAGAUGGACACUCACAAGACAGUUGAACUGCAAAUUCCAUCAUCUGACAAAUCCAGUUUCAUCUCUGUCAAUUCCCUCUUCAGUCAUGUCUGGAAUGAUGAUUCCCUGUUGUUUGCAGACUUUUGGACCCACAUUCGAAAAUCACUAGAGAUGUUUAAGUUUAGACCCAGCUUCCUGAUUCACGGGCACCAUGUGAGGUGCUGUGAACGGAUUGAUGUUGGGAACACUUGUGCAAGAUAUAAAAACCUUGACUCUAAUAUAUUAGACCAUACUAAUGAUGAUGGUCAUAGAGUCUCUAAGAGAUUCUCACUAGAAAACACUGCCUGCUACAAUACGGAUUCUCACCAUUUUUCCUGAUGCACUAAAAUCUGGAACAAAGAAAUGAGUAUUAUAUUCUACUGUGCUGCAAAGCAUGUCUUGGCUUUUGGACAAGAAUUACUCUCCAGAGAGUUCUGUUCUGCAUGAGCAACAUGUUCUCUAGAUCUUUCCCCAUCUUGAAGUUGAAGUUGGCCACAAUAUCUGAACCUUCAAUUCCCAUGAAGUGCCAAUGUCUUGCAGCAUUUCACUAAAACUAACAUUUAAGGAAUUUGAGUCAACUUGGUGACUCAGCCUAGUACCUGGAAAGUUGAUUCAUUAAGGCCCCAAGUUGAGGCCAAUCUGGAAAACUCAGUGAUUAACCAAGAUGCUGUC
Long non-coding RNA from Chinchilla lanigera (long-tailed chinchilla), 1530 nucleotides. RefSeq lists it as uncharacterized. Lineage: Eukaryota; Metazoa; Chordata; Mammalia; Rodentia; Chinchillidae. The transcript has 4 exons. The record is from RefSeq and is a predicted model, not a curated record.